RNAcentral lists this transfer RNA (66 nucleotides) under Micralestes sp. NM-2010. Its description in RNAcentral is "tRNA-Cys". The record is from RNAcentral. Lineage: Eukaryota; Metazoa; Chordata; Actinopteri; Characiformes; Alestidae.
AGCCCUGUGGUGUUCAGCACAUCAGAUUGCAAGUCUGAGGGCGCAGAGUAAUUCCUGCCGGGGCUU